Long non-coding RNA from Musa acuminata subsp. malaccensis (wild Malaysian banana), 574 nucleotides. RefSeq lists it as uncharacterized. The record is from RefSeq and is a predicted model, not a curated record. NCBI's taxonomy places the organism in Eukaryota, Viridiplantae, Streptophyta, Magnoliopsida, Zingiberales, Musaceae.
GGGAGCUUUCAAGUCUCCUCCACGAUUGACGGUUUAUCAGCCACCUCGUCUUCUUCCUCUUCCGUCUCCUUUGAAAGCCGAAUUGCCUCUUCGAUCCGGAUUACUUGCAACACUGCAAAUAGCCAAAAGGUCCAAAACCUAAAUGAGGGUUGUCACUGAACUACCAGUUAAAUGUAUUCUCAGGCGAAUCUAUCCCAUGAAGGGAACAUGGAGAACGAUGACCAUAUCUGUGCCAAAUAAGCAAGAAAAUGAGGAGCUUGGUGGAUUAUAUCGCGUAAUGAACGAAAAGGUUGAACCACUUGUGGCAUUCAACAAGCCACGGCUUCCACCUGUUCUUGGCCCUUUGGUUGUUCUCUCAUUCCUGGAGAUGUUAAGCAGUAAUGGGGAUGAUUAGAGAGAUACCAUCUCACAUCGUCAUGUGUAGUGUCGAUGCUUGAACUUGUAGAAUGGACAAAGAAAUGAACUUGUUGGGCAUUUGCUCGCUGGUAUGUUUAGUUUAUAGCUGCGCAUUUGAACUGCAUAUUUCCAAAUAUUGGUAUACUAUGAAAAAUGGAAGAAUCAAAGGCUCCCCAAA